RNAcentral lists this ribosomal RNA (1550 nucleotides) under Klebsiella pneumoniae. Its description in RNAcentral is "bacterial SSU rRNA". It matches the Rfam family "Bacterial small subunit ribosomal RNA". The record is from RNAcentral. Lineage: Bacteria; Pseudomonadati; Pseudomonadota; Gammaproteobacteria; Enterobacterales; Enterobacteriaceae.
AAAUUGAAGAGUUUGAUCAUGGCUCAGAUUGAACGCUGGCGGCAGGCCUAACACAUGCAAGUCGAGCGGUAGCACAGAGAGCUUGCUCUCGGGUGACGAGCGGCGGACGGGUGAGUAAUGUCUGGGAAACUGCCUGAUGGAGGGGGAUAACUACUGGAAACGGUAGCUAAUACCGCAUAACGUCGCAAGACCAAAGUGGGGGACCUUCGGGCCUCAUGCCAUCAGAUGUGCCCAGAUGGGAUUAGCUAGUAGGUGGGGUAAUGGCUCACCUAGGCGACGAUCCCUAGCUGGUCUGAGAGGAUGACCAGCCACACUGGAACUGAGACACGGUCCAGACUCCUACGGGAGGCAGCAGUGGGGAAUAUUGCACAAUGGGCGCAAGCCUGAUGCAGCCAUGCCGCGUGUGUGAAGAAGGCCUUCGGGUUGUAAAGCACUUUCAGCGGGGAGGAAGGCGCCAAGGUUAAUAACCUUGGCGAUUGACGUUACCCGCAGAAGAAGCACCGGCUAACUCCGUGCCAGCAGCCGCGGUAAUACGGAGGGUGCAAGCGUUAAUCGGAAUUACUGGGCGUAAAGCGCACGCAGGCGGUCUGUCAAGUCGGAUGUGAAAUCCCCGGGCUCAACCUGGGAACUGCAUUCGAAACUGGCAGGCUAGAGUCUUGUAGAGGGGGGUAGAAUUCCAGGUGUAGCGGUGAAAUGCGUAGAGAUCUGGAGGAAUACCGGUGGCGAAGGCGGCCCCCUGGACAAAGACUGACGCUCAGGUGCGAAAGCGUGGGGAGCAAACAGGAUUAGAUACCCUGGUAGUCCACGCCGUAAACGAUGUCGAUUUGGAGGUUGUGCCCUUGAGGCGUGGCUUCCGGAGCUAACGCGUUAAAUCGACCGCCUGGGGAGUACGGCCGCAAGGUUAAAACUCAAAUGAAUUGACGGGGGCCCGCACAAGCGGUGGAGCAUGUGGUUUAAUUCGAUGCAACGCGAAGAACCUUACCUGGUCUUGACAUCCACAGAACUUUCCAGAGAUGGAUUGGUGCCUUCGGGAACUGUGAGACAGGUGCUGCAUGGCUGUCGUCAGCUCGUGUUGUGAAAUGUUGGGUUAAGUCCCGCAACGAGCGCAACCCUUAUCCUUUGUUGCCAGCGGUUAGGCCGGGAACUCAAAGGAGACUGCCAGUGAUAAACUGGAGGAAGGUGGGGAUGACGUCAAGUCAUCAUGGCCCUUACGACCAGGGCUACACACGUGCUACAAUGGCAUAUACAAAGAGAAGCGACCUCGCGAGAGCAAGCGGACCUCAUAAAGUAUGUCGUAGUCCGGAUUGGAGUCUGCAACUCGACUCCAUGAAGUCGGAAUCGCUAGUAAUCGUAGAUCAGAAUGCUACGGUGAAUACGUUCCCGGGCCUUGUACACACCGCCCGUCACACCAUGGGAGUGGGUUGCAAAAGAAGUAGGUAGCUUAACCUUCGGGAGGGCGCUUACCACUUUGUGAUUCAUGACUGGGGUGAAGUCGUAACAAGGUAACCGUAGGGGAACCUGCGGUUGGAUCACCUCCUUACCUUAAAGAA